Molecule: ribosomal RNA, 700 nt
Filed under: Bacillus amyloliquefaciens
Lineage: Bacteria; Bacillati; Bacillota; Bacilli; Caryophanales; Bacillaceae
Description: bacterial SSU rRNA
Rfam family: Bacterial small subunit ribosomal RNA
Source: RNAcentral
CAGAUGCNGAGCUUGCUCCCUGAUGUUAGCGGCGGACGGGUGAGUAACACGUGGGUAACCUGCCUGUAAGACUGGGAUAACUCCGGGAAACCGGGGCUAAUACCGGAUGGUUGUUUGAACCGCAUGGUUCAGACAUAAAAGGUGGCUUCGGCUACCACUUACAGAUGGACCCGCGGCGCAUUAGCUAGUUGGUGAGGUAACGGCUCACCAAGGCGACGAUGCGUAGCCGACCUGAGAGGGUGAUCGGCCACACUGGGACUGAGACACGGCCCAGACUCCUACGGGAGGCAGCAGUAGGGAAUCUUCCGCAAUGGACGAAAGUCUGACGGAGCAACGCCGCGUGAGUGAUGAAGGUUUUCGGAUCGUAAAGCUCUGUUGUUAGGGAAGAACAAGUGCCGUUCAAAUAGGGCGGCACCUUGACGGUACCUAACCAGAAAGCCACGGCUAACUACGUGCCAGCAGCCGCGGUAAUACGUAGGUGGCAAGCGUUGUCCGGAAUUAUUGGGCGUAAAGGGCUCGCAGGCGGUUUCUUAAGUCUGAUGUGAAAGCCCCCGGCUCAACCGGGGAGGGUCAUUGGAAACUGGGGAACUUGAGUGCAGAAGAGGAGAGUGGAAUUCCACGUGUAGCGGUGAAAUGCGUAGAGAUGUGGAGGAACACCAGUGGCGAAGGCGACUCUCUGGUCUGUAACUGACGCUGAGGA